GAUGAACGCUGGCGGCGUGCCUAACACAUGCAAGUCGAACGAAGAGGCCCCUUCGGGGGUACUUCAGUGGCGGACGGGUGAGUAACACGUAGGUGACCUGCCCCGAAGCAGGGGAUAACGGCUCGAAAGGGCCGCUAAUACCCAAAAGGGUCGCGUAUCAAAGCGCGAUCAGAGUUACGGCGUUUCGGGAGGGGCCUGCGGCCCAUCAGCUAGUUGGUAGGGUAAUGGCCUACCAAGGCGACGACGGGUAGGGGGCCUGAGAGGGUGACCCCCCACAUUGGCACUGACACACGGGCCAAACUCCUACGGGAGGCAGCAGUGAGGAAUAUUGCGCAAUGAGCGAAAGCUAGACGCAGCAACGCCGCGUGGACGAUGAAGGCCUUCGGGUCGUAAAGUCCUUUUCAGGGGGACGAGAGAGGACGGUACCCCCUGGAAUAAGUCACGGCUAACUACGUG
Molecule: ribosomal RNA, 456 nt
Filed under: uncultured bacterium
Lineage: Bacteria
Description: bacterial SSU rRNA
Rfam family: Bacterial small subunit ribosomal RNA
Source: RNAcentral